This 460-nucleotide ribosomal RNA is filed under the name uncultured bacterium. RNAcentral's name for it is "partial 16S ribosomal RNA". It matches the Rfam family "Bacterial small subunit ribosomal RNA", at positions 338 to 795 of the family's 1533-position model. The record is from RNAcentral.
CCUACGGGGGGCAGCAGUGAGGAAUAUUGGUCAAUGGGCGCGAGCCUGAACCAGCCAAGUAGCGUGAAGGAUGACUGCCCUACGGGUUGUAAACUUCUUUUAUAAAGGAAUAAAGUGAGGCACGUGUGCCUUUUUGUAUGUACUUUAUGAAUAAGGAUCGGCUAACUCCGUGCCAGCAGCCGCGGUAAUACGGAGGAUCCGAGCGUUAUCCGGAUUUAUUGGGUUUAAAGGGAGCGUAGAUGGGUUGUUAAGUCAGUUGUGAAAGUUUGCGGCUCAACCAUAGAAUUGCCGUUGAUACUGGGAGGCUUGAGUAUGUUUGAGGCAGGCGGAAUGCGUGGUGUAGCGGUGAAAUGCUUAGAUAUCACGCAGAACACCGAUUGCGAAGGCAGCCUGCCAAGCCAUGACUGACGCUGAUGCACGAAAGCGUGGGGAUCAAACAGGAUUAGAUACCCGGGUAGUC